This 386-nucleotide ribosomal RNA is filed under the name Oligoryzomys fornesi. RNAcentral describes it as "partial 12S ribosomal RNA". The record is from RNAcentral. Lineage: Eukaryota; Metazoa; Chordata; Mammalia; Rodentia; Cricetidae.
CUUAGUCUUAAACUUCAAUAAUUUUCAAAACAAAAUUAUUUGCCAGAGAACUACUAGCCACCGCUUAAAACUCAAAGGACUUGGCGGUACUUUAUAUCCACCUAGAGGAGCCUGUUCUAUAAUCGAUAAACCCCGAUAUACCUCACCACCCCUUGCUAAUUCAGCCUAUAUACCGCCAUCUUCAGCAAACCUUUAAAAAAGAACAAAAGUAAGCAAGAGUAUACCCAUAAAAACGUUAGGUCAAGGUGUAGCCAAUGAGGUGGGAAGAAAUGGGCUACAUUUUCUUUACAAGAACAUUUACGAAACUCUUUAUGAAAUUAAAGAAUAAAGGAGGAUUUAGUAGUAAAUUAAGAACAGAGUGCUUAAUUGAAUAGAGCAAUGAAGUA